RNAcentral lists this long non-coding RNA (4323 nucleotides) under Salmo trutta (river trout). Its description in RNAcentral is "lncRNA (ENSSTUG00000000441.1)". The record is from RNAcentral. Lineage: Eukaryota; Metazoa; Chordata; Actinopteri; Salmoniformes; Salmonidae.
AUAUAUUUACAAAAAAAAUACAUAAUAUAGCUUUGUAUGAUAUUAUUUUACUGAUGCAUCAUCCGUUUUCGCACCAAAAUAGAAAAACAGAGUAGCAAAGCAGAAUUACUACGGCAUUUACGGUAAAAGUGGCGGUACUGAACUUUAACCAGGAAGUUUAUCUCAGUUGAUUCACCCAUGCUGGUGUUAAAACUUCUGCUUCACAUGCACACUGUUGAUAAAUUAAAGACAAAGAAAGAAAAACAAAAGCAAAGUUAGGAGAGUCAAUGAUGGUGACAACUCAAGGGAACUGAGAGAUGGCUCUAGUGACUUAAAUAGCUUGCAAAACUCGGGGCACGAGGCAGCAAUCACAACAACAACUAACUUAAUUUACAGCAGAUUAUAAACUUCCCAAAAUAUUCAGGACAUCAGCAGGGCUGAGUGUAAAAGCUGGAUGACCAGUCCUAUUGUCGAGGCAUACUGGGCAACAGGAGGUAUGUCAACAAUGUUUAUCAACGUAAUGGAAUAUUGUAUAUGUGCAUGUGCUUAUUGACAAUGAAUUGCACUGUGGGGAGACAAUAUCAACAAUUGACACAGACACAGUUGAUAUGGUGAAUAAUAUUAGACUGGCACAAAGGCUGUCAGUUUAUUUCCAGGCCAAGUUUCUAUGCUGUGUUUGUUUUUUCAAGGUGUCUGGCCUGGCCGGCAUCAUCUUUCCCCGGGAGUAAAGUAGGCCUACAGAAAAGUACUCAGAACAGCCUGAAAGUGAAGCCUGGGGAUGGAGUGACUCUUCACCCCCUGAUAGGGCCUGUGUUACAGGCAGAAGAUGUGCAUCUCUCCACCAGAUGGAAAGAUCCAACUCUCUGGAAACUCACUCUCCCUGAUGUAUUUUGGCAGAGCGUGUCGACGGCGUCUUCCUGCAGAGACCCCUGCCUACCCCGGGACUGGAGCCUGAUACAGAGGAGGCCUCUGACGAGCUCAGCGCUAGGCUCCACCUCCACCCUGGGCUCCACCUCCGCCCUGGGCUCCACCUCCAUGGACCUGAGGUGCAGGCCAGGGAUCCGGGGCAGCCUGAUCCUGCAUCCAGUAUCCCCUGCCCUGUGUCCCUCCAACUCUCCCCUGCAACCCCCAGACUCCCGCUGAGUCUGAGCAGGGCAGUCUCAGUCUAGAGGUGGAGCAUUAGGUGAAGUUCAGAGACGGGCACAAAGAGGCUCAAGAGGAGGAGGAUACGGCAGCCCUGAGGUCAAAAGUCAUAUACAGUAUGAUCCCGAAAGAGACUUCGCCAACUACGGUACACAAAUAUAUGGAUUUCCUUUGAAUUGGAAAAUUCUUCAUCAAAAACAAUAUGCUAUAUCUCAAAUUCAUGGAAACUCAACUCUGAUUUUAUGCAUUUCAUUCAAUUUUUGUGCUAAUGCGAUGUUGAUUUUGUUAUUUUUGCUUACAGGAAUCACACCUCAUAGGGGGGUUUUCCUUUAUGGCCCCCCGGGAACAGGAAAGACUAUGAUUGGAUGAGCCAUAGACAAUGAGGUCGGGGCACACAUGACCGUAAUCAACCGUCCAGAAAUCAUGAGCAAGUAUGGUCAUAUUAUUCCUACCUAAUGAAAUGUGGUUGGAUACCAAGUACAAGAUCAUGUAUUGAGGGUUAGUGAUGCUCGUACAUCCAUAUCAAGUGACCUUUGUUUAUUUUGUUGUCAUGUUCGACCUGUCUUUACAGAUUUUAUGGUGAAACAGAGGUCAGAUUGAGGCAGAUAUUCACAGGAGCCUCUCAAAGGUAAAUAUUGAGAGAAAAAAUACAUAUCAACCUUAGAAAUGCAGACUGACAUCCAAAAUAUCCCCCUCUUUCCUGGACAUCCUUCAGACAUUCUCCCUCUGUCUGCUGAGUGCCUGCUGAAUCUUGAUUUUUGUUCUGUCAGCGAAUCAGUCUAAUGAGAAAAAGAGAGCGCAGGCCCAUGAUCAGAGAUGGCUCGACAGCCGCCCUCCGCCCCUUUAGAGAACACAGGGAGCCUGGGAAACCCAUCACCGCUGGUCGCCAUCAUGUGCCAAAUUGGCAUCACGUUAUGGCCAAGUAUAUCUUCAUCUCCCCAGCCCAGCUCCUUGGUGCAGAUGGUGCACUGAAGUAGCUGCUCUCCCUCCUGCUAUCUGUUUUCCAUACCGAUGCUAAGGCUUGUUGUAUAAUCCAAGGUCACCAACCACCAAGGGCCUGCUGCUGUGGAAUGUGGCGAAAGCACUUCCUGCUCCCAGAAUUCUUCUCCCUCCACUCUCACUGUAAUUUAUUUGUGUUUUGGUCCCUCUGCUGGGCCUGUGGUAUAGGGGGAGGUGGAAAUAGCAUUAUUUCUCAGCCAGACCACCCAUUUUAGAACAUAGUACAAGGAGCUCUGUUUAUAGUAUUAAUAUUGUAUUGCCAGAUAAUGCCUGAUAGUUUCAGAAGAUGUAAAACAGUAAUUUAUUAAGCCUUCAGACACAUUUAUGGUCUGGAAAUGUCCUUUAUGUUUGAGCUUUUAGUGUCUGGGUCAUUGGUUAGGGCUAAGAUUAUUGAUUAAUAAUUUAUUACACCUACAUGCUCAAAUUCAAGCACAGUCAUGCUGCCUUAAAAGCAUACUUGCUUCAUCCUACUCCAAUUGCUCUCUUACAUUCAAACCCCUCAUUUACUGAUUUAAUGCUUGUUUUACCAGGGAAGUUGACUGAAACUUGAGUGCACAUUCUUAUACCAUGGUAACAUUCCUAACUGUCCUGGUUGGUCUCUUCCUCCAGGAGGGCCACUCAGGCCAGCUGCUGGUCCUUGUGGCACCAACCGGCCCCACGCCCUGGACCCAGCUCUCUAAAUCAAAUUUUAUUCGUCACAUGCGCCGAAUACAACAGGUGUAGACCUUAAGUGAAAUGCUUACUUACAAGCCCUUAACCAACAAUGCAGUUCAAGAAAGAGUAAAGAAAAUAUUUCCUAAGUAAACUAAAGUAACAAAAAUUAUAAAAAGUAUCACAAUAAUAUAACAAUAACGGGGCUAUAUACAGGGGGUAACGGUGCCAAGUCAAUGUUCGGGGGUACAGGUUAGUCGGAGGUAAUUUGUACAUGUAGGUAUGGGUAAAGUGACUAUGCAUAGAUAAUAGACAGCGCUUAGCAGCAGUGAAAAAACAAAUGGGGGGGGGGUCAAUGUAAAUAGUUUGGGUGGCCAUUUAGUUCAGGUAGGCUGUUGAUUAUGUGUUCAGCAGUCUCAUGGCUUGGGGAUAGAAGCUGUUAAGGAGCCUUUUGGUCCUAGACUUGGCGCUCCAGUACCGCUUUCCGCUCUGGUACCGAUUGCUAAACUUCCUCUGACACUGCCUAGUAUAAAGGUCCUGGAUGGCAGGAAGCUUGGCCCCAGUGAUAUACUGGGCCGUACGCACUACCCUCUGUAGCGCCUUACGGUCAGAUGCCGAGUAGUUUCCAUGCCAGGCGGUGAUGCAACCAGUCAGGAUGCUUUCGAUGGUGCAGCUGUAGAACUUUUUGAGGAUUUGGGGACCCAUGCCAAAUCUUUUCAGUCUCCUGAGGGGGAAAAGGUGUUGUUGUGCCCUCUUCACGAUUGUCUUGGUGUGUUUGGACCAUGAUAGCUCGUUGGUGAUGUGGACACCAAGGAACUUGAAACUCUCGACCCGCUCCACUUCAGACCCGACAAUGUCAAUGGGGGCCUGUUCAGCCCUCCUUUUCCUAUAGUCCAUGAUCAGCUCAUUUAUCUUGCUCACAUUGAGGUAGAGGUUGCUGUCCUGGCACCACACUGCCAGGUCUGAUCGUUGUCGGUGAUCACGCCUACCACUGUUGUGUCGUCAGAAAACGUAAUGAUGGUUUUGGAGUCGUGUUUGGCCAUGCAGUCGUGGGUGAGCAGGGAGUACAGGAGGGGACUAAGCACGCGCCCCUGAGGGGCCCCAGUGUUGAGGAUCAGCGUGGCAGAUGUGUUGUUGCCUACCCUUACCACCUGGGGGUGGCCCAUCAGGAAGUUCAGGACCCAGUUGCAGAGGGAGGUGUUUAGUCCCAGGGUCCUGAUCUUUCACGUUAUAAAAAUAAAGAAAAACCCUUGAAUGAGUAGGUGUGUCCAAACUUUUGACUGGUAGUAUAUAUGAAAAAGCCAUGUUUCUCACCACUCCCAUGUUGUGGUUUAUUUAGAGCUGGAUUACUGCGAGGCCUACGAGACAGAGUGGCUCACCACACCAACCCUCUGAGACUCUCCUGACCUAAGGAAGUGGGCUUGUACUUUGGCUUGUGGAUCCCAUUGAGAAAAACCUUCUUUAAAGUAAAACCCAAACCAUUUACUUGUUGUGAAAUUCCUCAUGGCCCAUACAGCCUUAACCCUGCAACCCAAUCCCCCUAACCGGGAA